RNAcentral lists this small RNA (126 nucleotides) under Salmonella enterica. RNAcentral's name for it is "RtT sRNA". It matches the Rfam family "RtT RNA". Rfam says of the family: This family represents a bacterial cis-regulatory element known as RtT RNA. The exact function of RtT is unknown although it is thought that it may be involved in changing the cellular response in relation to amino acid starvation. Lineage: Bacteria; Pseudomonadati; Pseudomonadota; Gammaproteobacteria; Enterobacterales; Enterobacteriaceae. The record is from RNAcentral.
GUUUGCACUUGUCGGGGAAGGGUGAGAACCUUCGAUUAAGGUUCGACUCGAGCGAAAGAACGUUGCCAACGGUAAGGGCCCGUAGGGUGAGGAGUGAAGCGACGAAUAAUCCUUCCUCCACCACCA